AAUUCCUAUAGCAGUGCUAGCCCAUUUGUGCUCUAACUAGCAGAUUCUUACAUGGCAUCAAAGUAAUGAGGCCUAUGGUCGUAGAUCUAGGACCCGAAGAGCAUUUUGGGUGAGUUGUAGCUAGCUAAACCUAUGAGUUGAGUUAAUUGAGCCCAAUUCAGGUGGAUCAAUGGCCAACCUAGCAAGCUAGACCUAGAGAGUAGAGUCAGAAGAUGUCAUAUCCAAGUAGAUGGACCAAGCCGUGCAAUUACAAGUGACAAUUGGGCUUCAACUAGUCUAGCUUAGUUGCACUUAAGGGGGAGUGUUG
Molecule: unclassified non-coding RNA, 307 nt
Filed under: Hevea brasiliensis (rubber tree)
Lineage: Eukaryota; Viridiplantae; Streptophyta; Magnoliopsida; Malpighiales; Euphorbiaceae
Source: RNAcentral